UCUGAAAAAAGGUAAACCUACUGUAAAGUAGCGACACAAAGCCAACGGGUCCUGAUCAAUAGGAUGGCCGGGUUGCCAGA
RNAcentral lists this non-coding RNA (80 nucleotides) under Desulfobacterales bacterium. RNAcentral's name for it is "c-di-GMP sequence". It matches the Rfam family "c-di-GMP-I riboswitch aptamer". From Rfam's summary of the family: GEMM was predicted in a large-scale screen for bacterial structured RNA regulatory elements. Genes associated with GEMM are involved in a diverse array of functions, including chemotaxis regulation, signal transduction, secretion and chitin. The record is from RNAcentral. Lineage: Bacteria; Pseudomonadati; Thermodesulfobacteriota; Desulfobacteria; Desulfobacterales.